This is a non-coding RNA of Salmo salar (Atlantic salmon), 54 nucleotides long. NCBI's taxonomy places the organism in Eukaryota, Metazoa, Chordata, Actinopteri, Salmoniformes, Salmonidae. The record is from Rfam.
GGAUGCACUAACUGUAAGUCGCUCUGGAUAAGAGCAUCUGCUAAAUAACUCAAA